AUUUAUUUGAACCUGAGAAUACAGACGAAGAACUCGCCUCACAAGCGUUGGAAAGAACCACACAGAGAGAGGGGAAACAGGCUGAUGAA
Molecule: long non-coding RNA, 89 nt
Organism: Etheostoma spectabile (orangethroat darter)
Lineage: Eukaryota; Metazoa; Chordata; Actinopteri; Perciformes; Percidae
Exons: 4
Source: RefSeq, a predicted model, not a curated record